Molecule: ribosomal RNA, 497 nt
Filed under: uncultured bacterium
Lineage: Bacteria
Description: partial 16S ribosomal RNA
Rfam family: Bacterial small subunit ribosomal RNA
Source: RNAcentral
GAUGAACGCUGGCGGCGUGCCUAAUACAUGCAAGUCGAGCGAACAGACGAGGAGCUUGCUCCUCUGACGUUAGCGGCGGACGGGUGAGUAACACGUGGAUAACCUACCUAUAAGACUGGGAUAACUUCGGGAAACCGGAGCUAAUACCGGAUAAUAUAUUGAACCGCAUGGUUCAAUAGUGAAAGACGGUUUUGCUGUCACUUAUAGAUGUAUCCGCGCCGCAUUAGCUAGUUGGUAAGGUAACGGCUUACCAAGGCAACGAUGCGUAGCCGACCUGAGAGGGUGAUCGGCCACACUGGAACUGAGACACGGUCCAGACUCCUACGGGAGGCAGCAGUAGGGAAUCUUCCGCAAUGGGCGAAAGCCUGACGGAGCAACGCCGCGUGAGUGAUGAAGUUCUUCGGAUCGUAAAACUCUGUUAUUAGGGAAGAACAAAUGUGUAAGUAACUAUGCACGUCUUGACGGUACCUAAUCAGAAAGCAACGGCUAACUACGUG